RNAcentral lists this ribosomal RNA (511 nucleotides) under Bacillus cereus. Its description in RNAcentral is "bacterial SSU rRNA". It matches the Rfam family "Bacterial small subunit ribosomal RNA", at positions 1 to 497 of the family's 1533-position model. Lineage: Bacteria; Bacillati; Bacillota; Bacilli; Caryophanales; Bacillaceae. The record is from RNAcentral.
UUAGAGUUUGAUUCCUGGCUCAGGAUGAACGCUGGCGGCGUGCCUAAUACAUGCAAGUCGAGCGAAUGGAUUAAGAGCUUGCUCUUAUGAAGUUAGCGGCGGACGGGUGAGUAACACGUGGGUAACCUGCCCAUAAGACUGGGAUAACUCCGGGAAACCGGGGCUAAUACCGGAUAACAUUUUGAACCGCAUGGUUCGAAAUUGAAAGGCGGCUUCGGCUGUCACUUAUGGAUGGACCCGCGUCGCAUUAGCUAGUUGGUGAGGUAACGGCUCACCAAGGCAACGAUGCGUAGCCGACCUGAGAGGGUGAUCGGCCACACUGGGACUGAGACACGGCCCAGACUCCUACGGGAGGCAGCAGUAGGGAAUCUUCCGCAAUGGACGAAAGUCUGACGGAGCAACGCCGCGUGAGUGAUGAAGGCUUUCGGGUCGUAAAACUCUGUUGUUAGGGAAGAACAAGUGCUAGUUGAAUAAGCUGGCACCUUGACGUACCUAACCAGAAAGCCACGGC